GCAGUGUAGUACAGUACAGUACAGUAUAGUAUAGUGUAGUCGUACUGUAUUGGUAAACUAAUGUGGAGGUAAUGAUUUAUGUAAACAGUUGGGGACAGUUUAAGUACAUGUGAUCUAGUUGCAAGUUUAAUUUUCAUUGUACGUAAAUUACAACUUUAAACACGUUGCAGGUAACAGCUGAUGUACGUGAAGGCCAAUGGAGAAGUGACAGAACCUCGAGCAAGAUUUAACUACCAGCAUGUUACUUCAGCCUCAUCAGUGACAGCUGAUGUAUGUGAAGCCCAAUGGAGAAGUGACAGAACCUUGAGCAACAUUUAACACCCAGCAUGUUACUUCAGCCUCAUCAGUUAAGUUACUUAUAUAUAUCUUGGCUAUUAUGGUCAUCCCAUAAACUACUCAACACCGUGCUUCUACACUCGGCAGUGGAGGGUGUGUGGGGGGCCUGGCUGACUGUGUGAUGGAGGGUUCUGGAGGACUGUGUGAUGGAGGGUUCUGGAGGACUGUGUGUGAAGGAGGGCUCUGGAGGACUGUGAUGGAGGGCUCUGGAGGACUGUGUGUGAAGGAGGGCUCGUGAGUACUGAGUGGACAGAUUGGUCUUCGAGUAAAAUUAAUAUUAGUUGUAGUGACAGUAUAAAUAUACAGGACUACAUGCCUAUUGGUUAUUAGAGAAAAUUAGUAGUAGUAGUGGUAGUAGUAGUAAAUACAGCAAGUAAAGCAAGUUGUUGUGGGUGGGUUUCAACUAACUUUACUAACCUAACUUAACCAGCCUAAGUUAAUUAAACGUAAUAACGUAGACUGAACCAAAUCCGUAAUAAGGUCACCGCGACCCGUAGCUGGGGACGUCAAAGGCUCGGUCGGAUUGGUACACCGUCAAUGACUCAGCUCAUCUUGGAGGGAGGGGGGGGGGGUGGCGAGCUACCUCCCGUGUCCUGGCUGAACUGCGAGAGGGGCAACCACUGGUGUCCUGCCUCCCUGCGAGAUGGUCGUUGAUCUACCCGACCCGUCUUGGGACAACAACCACGGAGUCUAGCAUGUGUAGGAGUCGAUGGGGUCACUGAGCCCGAAGGCGAGAUGAAGGUAACGGGCGCCUGGUGCGUCUUGGGCAGAUCCUCAACUGGCUGCCUCUGGCCGUGCACGUGUGGCGUUUGCGUGGUUGAGACCCUUUCCCCCCACUGGGAAAAGGGCCUUCCCCCGCGCAUUACCACGUGAGUGCACAUGUCGCCGCGCUUCUCUGGGCGCACACGUCGCCACCUCAGCUUGUUUGCAGCUGGGUGGGUGGAGCGGCCCAAAAAGCUCCCAUCUCGCCUCCCCAUUUUCCCUUCCUUCAUAUCUUUGAGUUAUAUAUAAAAAUAAGUGUGUUUAUGUCUACUUAAAUAAAUUAUAUACAAUAUGC
Long non-coding RNA from Homarus americanus (American lobster), 1393 nucleotides. RefSeq lists it as uncharacterized. NCBI's taxonomy places the organism in Eukaryota, Metazoa, Arthropoda, Malacostraca, Decapoda, Nephropidae. The record is from RefSeq and is a predicted model, not a curated record. The transcript has 2 exons.